AGGGGAAAUUAACACAAGCAGAUGAUCAUCUUGCUCCAAUGUAAAUACACUUACUGAAGCAGGAGUUGUUCAUGUAUACAUUAUAUACAGAAGAAACAUAGAGAGACUGUUUUUCCAAAACAGAUCAAAUGCUGAUAUGGUUUUCUACAAAAAAAUCAUCUUUUUACCUGUAUUGGAAGUGUUGCAAGGCCUUCUGUGAUUUGUUGUAAUGAAGGUUUAUUUAUUUAUGUUUGAAAUAGCUGUUUAUUGGUUUCUUGUUGGAUAAUCUAGUAGGGAC
RNAcentral lists this long non-coding RNA (277 nucleotides) under Salvia miltiorrhiza (redroot sage). RNAcentral describes it as "long non-coding RNA (SMIL_LNC000246)". Lineage: Eukaryota; Viridiplantae; Streptophyta; Magnoliopsida; Lamiales; Lamiaceae. The record is from RNAcentral.